UGCCAGCCGCCGCGGUAAUACGGGGGGAGCUAGCGUUGUUCGGAUUUAUUGGGCGUAAAGGGUGCGUAGGCGGUUAUAUAAGUAGAGUGUAAAAUCCCCAGGCUUAACCUUGGGUUCGCGCUCUAAACUGUAUUACUAGAAUGUGGUAGAGGAAAGUGGAAUUCUUAGUGUAGAGGUGAAAUUCGCAGAUAUUAAGAGGAACGUCAAAGGCGAAGGCAACUUUCUGGACCAUCAUUGACGCUGAGGUACGAAAGCGUGGGGAGCAAACAGGAUUAGAUA
Molecule: ribosomal RNA, 279 nt
Filed under: uncultured bacterium
Lineage: Bacteria
Description: partial 16S ribosomal RNA
Rfam family: Bacterial small subunit ribosomal RNA
Source: RNAcentral